This 245-nucleotide ribosomal RNA is filed under the name uncultured Hyphomicrobium sp. RNAcentral's name for it is "partial 16S ribosomal RNA". It matches the Rfam family "Bacterial small subunit ribosomal RNA", at positions 524 to 768 of the family's 1533-position model. The record is from RNAcentral. Lineage: Bacteria; Pseudomonadati; Pseudomonadota; Alphaproteobacteria; Hyphomicrobiales; Hyphomicrobiaceae.
UACGAAGGGGGCUAGCGUUGUUCGGAAUUACUGGGCGUAAAGCGCACGUAGGCGGAUUGGCAAGUCAGGGGUGAAAUCCCGGGGCUCAACCUCGGAACUGCCUUUGAUACUGCCAGUCUAGAGUCCGGAAGAGGUGGGUGGAAUUCCUAGUGUAGAGGUGAAAUUCGCAGAUAUUAGGAAGAACACCGGUGGCGAAGGCGGCCCACUGGUCCGGAACUGACGCUGAGGUGCGAAAGCGUGGGGAG